Molecule: ribosomal RNA, 497 nt
Filed under: uncultured bacterium
Lineage: Bacteria
Description: partial 16S ribosomal RNA
Rfam family: Bacterial small subunit ribosomal RNA
Source: RNAcentral
GAUGAACGCUGGCGGUAUGCCUAAUACAUGCAAGUCGAACGGACACACGAGGAGCUUUCUCCGCUGACGUUAGCAGCGGACAGGAGAGUGCCACGUGGACGACCUACCUAUAGGAAUGGGAUAACUACGGGAGACCGGAGCUAAUACAAGAUAAUAUAUGCAAGCACAUGAUUCAGUAUUGAAAGACGGUUUUGGUGUCACAAAGAGAUAGAUCCGCGCCGCUUUGGCUAGUUGGUAAGGUAACGGCUAACCAAGGCAACGAUGAGUAGCCGACCUGAGAGGGUGAUGGGCCACACUGGAACUGAGACACGGUCCAGACGCCUACGGGAGGCAGCAGUAGGGAAUCUUCCGCAAUGGGCGAAAGCCUGACGGAGCAACGCCGCGUGAGUGACGAAGCUCUUCGGAUCGUAAAACUCUGUUAUUAGGGAAGAAAAAAUGUGUAAGUAACGAUGCACGUCUUGACGGUACCUAAUCAGACAGCCACGGCUAACUACGUG